This 628-nucleotide ribosomal RNA is filed under the name uncultured bacterium. RNAcentral's name for it is "bacterial SSU rRNA". It matches the Rfam family "Bacterial small subunit ribosomal RNA", at positions 56 to 676 of the family's 1533-position model. The record is from RNAcentral.
UGCAGUCGAGCGGUAACAGAUCUAGCUUGCUAGAUGCUGACGAGCGGCGGACGGGUGAGUAACGCGUAGGAAACUGCCGAGUAGUGGGGGAUAGCCCAGAGAAAUUUGGAUUAAUACCGCAUACGCCCUACGGGGGAAAGGAGGGGAUCUUCGGACCUUUCGCUAUUCGAUGUGCCUGCGUGAGAUUAGCUUGUUGGUGAGGUAAAGGCUCACCAAGGCGACGAUCUCUAGCUGGUUUGAGAGGAUGAUCAGCCACACUGGGACUGAGACACGGCCCAGACUCCUACGGGAGGCAGCAGUGGGGAAUAUUGCACAAUGGGGGAAACCCUGAUGCAGCCAUGCCGCGUGUGUGAAGAAGGCCUUCGGGUUGUAAAGCACUUUCAGCAGUGAGGAAAGGUUGUAAGUUAAUACCUUGCAGCUAUGACGUUAACUGCAGAAGAGGGACCGGCUAACUCCGUGCCAGCAGCCGCGGUAAUACGGAGGGUCCGAGCGUUAAUCGGAAUUACUGGGCGUAAAGCGCGCGUAGGCGGCUAGGUCAGUCAGAUGUGAAAGCCCCGGGCUUAACCUGGGAAUUGCAUCUGAUACUGCUUGGCUAGAGUACAGAAGAGGGUGGUGGAAUUUCCUGUGU